This 496-nucleotide ribosomal RNA is filed under the name uncultured bacterium. RNAcentral describes it as "bacterial SSU rRNA". It matches the Rfam family "Bacterial small subunit ribosomal RNA", at positions 28 to 517 of the family's 1533-position model. The record is from RNAcentral.
GAUGAACGCUAGCGGCAGGCUUAAUACAUGCAAGUCGAGGGGCAGCAUGAGUAGCAAUACUUGAUGGCGACCGGCAAACGGGUGCGGAACACGUACACAACCUUCCUUUAAGUGGGGAAUAGCCCAGAGAAAUUUGGAUUAAUACCCCGUAACAUAUAGAUGUGGCAUCACAAUUAUAUUAUAGGUUUACCGCUUAAAGAUGGGUGUGCGGCUGAUUAGAUAGUUGGCGGGGUAAUGGCCCACCAAGUCUACGAUCAGUAGCUGAUGUGAGAGCAUGAUCAGCCACACGGGCACUGAGACACGGGCCCGAUCCUACGGGAGGCAGCAGUAAGGAAUAUUGGACAAUGGACGCAAGUCUGAUCCAGCCAUGCCGCGUGAAGGAUUAAGGUCCUCUGGAUUGUAAACUUCUUUUAUAUUGGGACGAAAAAGGAAGAUACUUUCUCUCUCGUACGGUACGUACUAUAGAAUAAGACGACCGACCGUAACCUACCGUACG